ACCUCCCCUGCAGCGGAAGUCUUUUUCUUAUCCUCGAGUACACCAUGGUCAACACUUCUCUCUCACAAUCCAUGGUCAAACACUGAGCAUCUCUUGCUCUCUCUCCACCUCUCAUGAUUCACUUCCAGACUAUUAGUUAUGGCCAAAGCUUCACCCGAUCAUGGAGAAACGUACUCGACUGAGCCCGGUCACCAAACCCAAACCAUGGGCUCUGAUACCAUUUGUAGGGAGGGGUUCCACACUCACACAUACACAUAAGUCUCCACAUUUGAUAAGAUAUUGUCCACUUUGGGCCAAGCCCUCACGGAUUUUCUUUUGGUACCACUCCAAAAGGCCUCUUAUCAAUGGAGGUAUCU
This 356-nucleotide long non-coding RNA is filed under the name Vigna radiata. RNAcentral's name for it is "long non-coding RNA (VRAD_LNC007748)". The record is from RNAcentral. Lineage: Eukaryota; Viridiplantae; Streptophyta; Magnoliopsida; Fabales; Fabaceae.